This 253-nucleotide ribosomal RNA is filed under the name uncultured bacterium. Its description in RNAcentral is "partial 16S ribosomal RNA". It matches the Rfam family "Bacterial small subunit ribosomal RNA", at positions 524 to 776 of the family's 1533-position model. The record is from RNAcentral.
UACGGAGGGUGCGAGCGUUGUCCGGAAUCACUGGGCGUACAGGGCGCGUAGGUGGCUUUUCAAGCGCGCGGUGAAAGUCCAGGGCUCAACCCUGGGAUGCCGGUGGAUACUGUCGGGCUCGAGUCCGGAAGAGGCGAGUGGAAUUCCUGGUGUAGCGGUGAAAUGCGCAGAUAUCAGGAGGAACACCAAUGGCGAAGGCAGCUCGCUGGGACGUGACUGACGCUGAGACGCGAAAGCGUGGGGAGCAAACAGG